Molecule: non-coding RNA, 20 nt
Filed under: Gossypium hirsutum (cotton)
Lineage: Eukaryota; Viridiplantae; Streptophyta; Magnoliopsida; Malvales; Malvaceae
Source: RNAcentral
AAUGUUGAAGUGAGCCCACA